GACGAACGCUGGCGGCGUGCUUAACACAUGCAAGUCGAACGGAAAGGCCCUGCUUGCAGGGUACUCGAGUGGCGAACGGGUGAGUAACACGUGGGUGAUCUGCCCUGCACUUCGGGAUAAGCCUGGGAAACUGGGUCUAAUACCGGAUAGGAGCCAUUUUUAGUGUGAUGGUUGGAAAGUUUUUUCGGUGUAGGAUGAGCUCGCGGCCUAUCAGCUUGUUGGUGGGGUAAUGGCCUACCAAGGCGGCGACGGGUAGCCGGCCUGAGAGGGUGGACGGCCACAUUGGGACUGAGAUACGGCCCAGACUCCUACGGGAGGCAGCAGUGGGGAAUAUUGCACAAUGGGCGCAAGCCUGAUGCAGCGACGCCGCGUGGGGGAUGACGGCAUUCGGGUUGUAAACUCCUUUCGCUAGGGACGAAGCUUUUUGUGACGGUACCUAGAUAAGAAGCACCGGCUAACUAAGUG
This 465-nucleotide ribosomal RNA is filed under the name uncultured bacterium. Its description in RNAcentral is "partial 16S ribosomal RNA". It matches the Rfam family "Bacterial small subunit ribosomal RNA", at positions 28 to 507 of the family's 1533-position model. The record is from RNAcentral.